Molecule: long non-coding RNA, 915 nt
Organism: Mytilus californianus (California mussel)
Lineage: Eukaryota; Metazoa; Mollusca; Bivalvia; Mytilida; Mytilidae
Exons: 2
Source: RefSeq, a predicted model, not a curated record
UCACGACCUUUGUGUUUAUUUUUAUACACAGACUUCAAAACAAAAAAGAUAAACAUUACAAUCUUUAUAUUGAAAUUUAAUAUGAAAAUCAACAAUAAUAACAAAGUCAACAUGAAUAACAAUGUCGUAUUGUAACAAUGGUAACACAGAAAAUCUCCUUCAUAGACAUAAUCCAGUCAAACUAAUCAAAUAAAAUCUAUCGUAUAAUGGUUAUGUGCAUCAGUCUACAAACAGUAUAAAAACACCAUUGAUAGUUCAUAAUCAGGUCAAAGAUCUCCCAGCAUUACAUAGACAUACAAAGUACUUUUGCACGAGUUAAAGUCUUCAUUGUUUAUUGACAGGUAUUUUAGUCACGUGUUCCAUUUUUUUAUUACCUGAAUCAUUAUCUUGCUUCCAAAAAGAUAAACGUCAAAAAAACAAAACAUAAUAACAGAAAACAAUAUAUUUCAUAAAAAUGUGGUAUUUUUUUCAAUGGUAAAUUUAUACUGCUUGUAGCCAGAGACUUAUCUUUCCUUGUACAUGGUUCAAUUUGUUUUCAUUUUGAAUGACAAAACACACUGAAUUUGGCAUGACUAAAUUAUGUAUACAUUGCAAAACCUUAUACCAUUGGCAAGUAGAAAUCACACAUCAAUGUAACACAAUGUAAUAAGGAUCUCAUGAGUAUGAUAAUGCUACACGUAGUUUGAAAUGACCGUCAAAUUUACAUGUAACUCUAGGUUUCCUAGUCGUUGAUAAGUGCGGUAAAUUUUAAGUUAUUUGUGGUGAUUUCAGUUUGUACAAGACAGAAUCUGUCAGUUAGAUGUGCAGUUAUUGUGAAUUUGGAACUUGAACCAUAACAUUGACAAUUAUUCAAAGUACCGUUAAAAUAAAAAAAAAAGUGAAAGUGGAAAAGUACUUAAACAAUCUUUAAAGAAA